GUUAAGAAGCUAAAAAUAAAGCAACGCAAGAAAGCCUAGAGAGUUAAUACCUUUU
Molecule: transfer RNA, 55 nt
Filed under: Ovis ammon ammon
Lineage: Eukaryota; Metazoa; Chordata; Mammalia; Artiodactyla; Bovidae
Description: partial tRNA-Phe
Source: RNAcentral